CCUUUCUGAUGAAACCGUGGACAAGAAGAAGUUGAUUGAUGAUGUCAGACAAGCGCUUUAUGCAUCCAAAAUAUGUAGUUAUGCACAGGGGAUGAAUUUGAUCCGUGCCAAGAGUAUUGAAAUGGGUUGGGGCCUAACACUUGGAGAGCUUGCUAGGAUUUGGAAGGGUGGUUGCAUCAUCCGUGCCAUUUUCUUGGACCGAAUUAAGCAAGCUUAUGAUAGGAAUGCAGACCUUGCUAGCCUUCUUGUAGAUCCAGAGUUUGCAAAGGAGAUGAUAGAGCGACAAGCAGCUUGGCGUAGAGUUGUCUGCGUUGCUAUCAACUCUGGCGUUAGCACUCCUGGUAUGUCUUCCAGUCUUGCUUACUUU
RNAcentral lists this long non-coding RNA (367 nucleotides) under Daucus carota (carrot). RNAcentral's name for it is "long non-coding RNA (DCAR_LNC004749)". The record is from RNAcentral. Lineage: Eukaryota; Viridiplantae; Streptophyta; Magnoliopsida; Apiales; Apiaceae.